Octopus bimaculoides (California two-spot octopus) is the source of this 3786-nucleotide unclassified non-coding RNA. NCBI's taxonomy places the organism in Eukaryota, Metazoa, Mollusca, Cephalopoda, Octopoda, Octopodidae. The record is from RefSeq and is a predicted model, not a curated record.
GAAAUUUUAAUGUAAUAAAAUGUUUUAAAAGAAAUUUUAAGUUCCUACAUGAUAACUGUAAACCUACUUUUGGGCUUCCCUGUAUAUUGUGUGUAUGAGUGUUCAUAUAUACUGCUGAUACAUGGAUAUGCUAUUCUUGACCCUAAAUUGGUGUCUUUAUUAUUAAAAUACCUUGAUUCAAUUGGAUCCUGCAAAUGGUUAAUUAUAUACAUAUAUAUUAGUGCAAAUUAUUAUUCUGUCUCACUUGAAGCAUCCCUGAGAGAUAGACCAGUUGAUCAUUGUCUCUUAUUGGCUCUUGAUCAAGUUGUAAUUAAUUCCAGAUCAGCUCUGAUCAUAGGUCUGCUCAAGUAGACUUAUGAUUAAAUGCUCCAGCCAUAACCAUCAUACUGUCUCUGAUAUUUGGCUGCUAUUAGUAGCAGAUUGGGCAGUAGUGUAAAGUCUUCAUCACAGAUUCAUGGUCUGGUAGUUACAUCUUUUAUCUUUUAAUUGUUUCAGUCAUUAGAUGAGGUGGUGAAGCACGACGUUUGAACAUUAGGCCUCACCGAGGCAAUACUUAGUGACCGAGACCUUUGGAAAUAUGCUGUGCGUGAGAAAACCCGGCAAGCCAAGUGAGACCAUAACCCGUGGCCUUUGCCAGGGGUGUAGUCAGCCCACUUAUGCAUACCUUUCCUUCAUUGGACACUAAACUCUGCUUGCGAAGACCUGUUGAGGCAAGUGGAAUCGAAAUCGAACCAAAUUUGACAACUGGCAUCCAUGCCAACCUUUCCUUCAUAGGACACUAAACUCUGCUUGCGAAGACCUGUUGGGGGCAAGUGAAAUCGAAAUCGUAAUUGAACCAAAUUUGAUGACUGGCACCCGUGCCAGUGGAGCACUAACAGCACUGUCUGUGCGUGAUCAUUGCCAGAGCAGCUGUCUGGCUUCCAUGCCGGUGGCAUGUAAAUACUACCAUUUAAGCAUGUUCAUUAUCAGUGCCGCCUUAAUGGCACGUGAAAAAACAUUCGAGCGAAGUCGUUGCCAGUGCCGCUGGACUGGCUCCUGUACAGGUGGCAUGUAAAAAACAUCAUUUGAGCGUGGUCAUUGCCAGUAGCACCUGACUGGCCCUUGAACCAGUGGCAUGUAAAAGCACCCACUACACUCUCAGAGUGGAAGGGCAUCCAGCUGUAGAAACUCUGCCAAAUCAAAUUGGAGCCUGGUGCAGCCAUCUGGUUCUCCAGUCCUCAGUCAAAUCGUCCAACCCAUGCUAGCAUGGAAAGCAGACAUUAAACGAUGAUGAUUAGACUGUGGCCAUGAUGGGACACUGCCUUGAAAGAAUUUAGUUGAACAAAUCAACCCCAAUACUUAUUUCAUUUUUAAGCUUGACACUUAUUUUGUUGGUCUCUUUUGCUGGACCACUAAAAUACAGGGAUGUAAACAAACCAACACUGGUUGUCAAGUGGUGAUGGAGGACAAACACAUCACACACAAUUAUAUACAUAUCACAUAGACUUUCUGUCUACCAAAUCUACUCACAAGGCUUUGCUUCGCUUGGAGCUAUGGUUGAAGAUAUUUGCUGAAGGUGUCACACAGCAGGACUGAACCCUCCCAAGGUAAAUGGAUGAAGAGCAAACUUCUUACCACACAGGUAUGCCUGCACUUGUGAUCAUUAUCUUGUGAUGAUAAACUCACAUAUCUCAGCUACCUCAGUCCAGUUUUCUGUACUAAACCCUUCAUUCUUGUAACUUGAGUGUUUGCUCUGGCAUUCCGUCACUAUCUUCAUUUAUCUCCUUCUCUACUACUCCCUCCCACCUCUAUAUAUAAUAGGGGUUUGCCAUGUAUCUUCUCUAUAGCAAAACACCUGUGCUUGUCCCUCUAUCUUUAGCCUUUCAGCAUCUGGCAUAAAGCCACCUUCCCCUCCCGAGAAUACUCCAUUUAAUAGUGGGAGCGUUUCCCUUUUUUUCUUCUUGUUCUUUUUCUAACAUGCAAAUUAGCUGACAGCCUCACAACUGUCAAUGCUAUGAAAAAAGCAACCAGUACACUCUGUAAAGUGGUUGGCAUUAAGAAGGGCAUCCAGCUGUAGAAACCAUGCCGAAGUUGUCAUUGGAGCUUCACAUGACAUUGUGACUCAUCAGAUUUUGUCAAACUACCCAUCUUAUGCCAGCAUGGAAAGUGGACAUUAUUAUUAUUGUUGUCAGUCAUCGGUCAUCUGUCGAUGUUGCCGAUGAUCUGUCUUAUUGGUUUACCUAACAAUCCUUGGACUACAUUAUCAGCAGUUGUUGUUCACUGUGUGAUGUAAUAAUAUGUUUCAAAUAGUCAGCUUCUCCCUCACUUUCCCAUUUUCGUUGGUGACGGAAUGAAACACCUUUUUGUCUUCAUGAACUUCUAUUAUAUGGAAGAGAAUAACAGUAUCGUUGUCAUAAGUAGAUGCUGCAGCCUGUACUUGUGUAUGUAAUGGAUAGAAUAUAAGAAUAAUACUGGUGUUCUGCAAUAGAUGCAGGUCUAUGUCUCUAUUGUAGAUUUGUAAAAGAUAAAUAUCUAGACCUAUACUGGAGGUGUGUAAUAGAUAUAUAGACCUAUAAUGGAGGGUGUGUAUUAGAUAGGUAUGUAGACCUAUAAUGGAGGAUCUGUAAUAGAGAGAUAAACACACCUGUAUUGGAGGUGUGGAAUAGAUAGGUACAUAGACCUAUAAUGGAGGGUGUGUAACAUAUAUUCAUAUAUAUGUCAUCUGUGCAGUAGAUGUAUAAAAUGGGCUAAUUUAAGUAUUUCUUCAUAAAUUGGAAAAAUAAUGAACAGCCUUAAUCGAAUUUUGAAACUUAUUGGUUUCUUAUCAGGAGUGUGUACAUCUCUCAACCAAUCCCAGUAGACAGAGAUGUAGACUUAUAAUAGGUGUAGACUUACCACACAGCCAUGCUUGCGCCUAUAUAUAAAAGUAAUUAUAUAAACAACAAGAAAACAAAGAAUUAUGUAAUGACUAAUACUUUUUCUGAAGCUUAUGUAUAUUGUUCUAACACCAGGUCAUUAAUAUUGCUCUGCAUAAACAAAAUAUUAAAACAUAAGCUCACACACAAAGAGGCACACAUACACCUGCACAUAGAGAUGGGGGAAAGAGAGAGUGAAUCGUUCAAUGCAUCUUGUUUUGUAAUUUUGGUAUUCUGAAUUCAGUUCGUGCCAGAUUUAACUCUCUGGAUACACAAACAAAUGAAUACAUGAUGAUAAAAUAAAAUAGAAUACGAAACCCAGCAAUAUAUUCUUUUAUCAGUCCACAUGUAACUACAAUGCACUCCAUCACAGAACAAACAAAAAAAUUCUUAGUACUUGGUCAUGUACUUAUUAAAUGUAAGCUAUCCAAUCAGUAACAUUUCCAAAGAAUUACAAUAGAGAGAGGUGAGGAGAGAAGGAGGAUGAGGGAAGGAGAAGGAAGAGGUGAAGACAAGAGAUUGGAUUGGUUGAAUAUGUGAUGUCAUCAACAUUUAAUCUCUGGUUAAUAAAAUAAUUGAUCAGGAGUUGAGAGCUCAAGGAUGAAAGUAAGAAACAGUUAUUUAAUGGAAGGGAAUGUAAUCUGUUAAAUUGACUCUAGUACUUCACAAGUAUUUAUUUUAUUAACCUGUGAAAGAAGGAAGUCAAACUUUAGUCAAAUUUUAGAAGGAAACAGCUGAAAGAUAAAAAUAAAACUAUCAGGAAACCAGGUAGAAGUUGCUGGAACUGAACAAGAACAAAGUACAAAAGUUGUGGUCAAGGAACUUGAGAGCAACAAGAGGAAAAUUGAACGAAUUUACCUGGAAUUGUAAGAGCAAUUAAUAAGAAAGAGCC